Molecule: ribosomal RNA, 562 nt
Filed under: Millerozyma porticicola
Lineage: Eukaryota; Fungi; Ascomycota; Pichiomycetes; Serinales; Debaryomycetaceae
Description: LSU rRNA
Rfam family: Eukaryotic large subunit ribosomal RNA
Source: RNAcentral
CAAUAAGCGGAGGAAAAGAAACCAACAGGGAUUGCCUCAGUAACGGCGAGUGAAGCGGCAAAAGCUCAAAUUUGAAAUCUGGCGUCUUUGGCGUCCGAGUUGUAAUUUGAAGAUGGCAACUUUGGGUCUGGUGCUUGUCUAAGUUCCUUGGAACAGGACGUCAUAGAGGGUGAGAAUCCCGUAUGAUGAGAGAGCCAGAUCUUUGUAAAGUGCCUUCGAAGAGUCGAGUUGUUUGGGAAUGCAGCUCUAAGUGGGUGGUAAAUUCCAUCUAAAGCUAAAUAUUGGCGAGAGACCGAUAGCGAACAAGUACAGUGAUGGAAAGAUGAAAAGAACUUUGAAAAGAGAGUGAAAAAGUACGUGAAAUUGUUGAAAGGGAAGGGUUUGAGAUCAGACAUGGUAUUUUGUACACCUUCUCUCUCGGGAGGGGGCCUCUGCAGUUUACUGGGCCAGCAUCAGUUUGGACGGUAGGAUAAUGACUAAGGAAUGUGGCUCUUCUUCGGAAGUGUGUUAUAGCCUUUGUUGAUACUGCCUGUCUAGACUGAGGACCGCGUCUUGACAAGGA